AUGAGAGCUCUAUUCUGGAAUAUUCGUGGUUUCGGUGCUAGGGGGCGCCGAGACCAGAUCCAUGACCUGGUUUGUGGUGAACAUAUCGACAUUUUAGGGUUGGUUGAAACUUUUCAGGAAUCCUUCUCCUCUCCUGAGCUUUCGGCGGUGGCUGGUAUGGACCAGUUCGACUGGCACUGUCUCCCUGCUUCGAGACAUUCUGGGGGAAUCUUGAUAGGGUCCAAGCGAGACAUGUGUGAUUUCAUUGCCUUUGAUCAUGGUAUUUUCUGGGCUAGCUGUGUGGUUCAUCACCGUCAGCUGAACACUUUAUGGGAAUUUAUGGUGGUUUACGGACCCGCGGACCACUCGCUUGCCCCUCUGUUUCUGGAUGUGCUUUCGAAUAAGAUUGAAGCGUGCACUAUCCCUCUUCUUAUUGGGGGUGACUUCAAUUUGCUUCGAACCCCGGCGGAUAAGAACAACUCUAAUUUUUCUUGGCCUCUUGCCAACGCUUUUAAUGAUUCAUCAGUAGCUGUGCGCUUCGUGAGCUCCCUAGGGUGGGGGCGCGGUUUACUUGGUCUAACCAUCAGUCCUCUCCUGUCCGGUCGGUGUUGGAUAGGGUCUUUGUUUCUGAUAGGUGGGACUCGCUUUUCCCUCGUGCGUUACUUAAAGCCAGACCUGUGGUUGGCUCUGAUCAUGUCCCCCUGGUCGUCGACGCGGGCAUUCUCUCCCUUGUGUCUCCCUCCCGUUUCCAGUUUGACGCCUCUUGGCUUGUUGUGGAUGGCUUCUGUGAGAUGA
RNAcentral lists this ribosomal RNA (774 nucleotides) under Triticum aestivum (bread wheat). RNAcentral describes it as "partial small subunit ribosomal RNA". Lineage: Eukaryota; Viridiplantae; Streptophyta; Magnoliopsida; Poales; Poaceae. The record is from RNAcentral.